This 665-nucleotide ribosomal RNA is filed under the name Deuterosminthurus sulphureus. Its description in RNAcentral is "SSU rRNA". It matches the Rfam family "Eukaryotic small subunit ribosomal RNA", at positions 1135 to 1818 of the family's 1831-position model. The record is from RNAcentral. Lineage: Eukaryota; Metazoa; Arthropoda; Collembola; Symphypleona; Bourletiellidae.
AGCUGAAACUUAAAGGAAUUGACGGAAGGGCACCACCAGGAGUGGAGCCUGCGGCUUAAUUUGACUCAACACGGGAAAUCUCACCAGGCCCGGACACCGGAAGGAUUGACAGAUUGAGAGCUCUUUCUUGAUUCGGUGGGUGGUGGUGCAUGGCCGUUCUUAGUUGGUGGAGCGAUUUGUCUGGUUAAUUCCGAUAACGAACGAGACUCUGGCCUACUAAAUAGAUAGCGUAUCCCUUUGUGGGUACGCCACUGCUUCUUAGAGGGACGGGCGGCUUUUAGCCGCACGAGAAUGAGCAAUAACAGGUCUGUGAUGCCCUUAGAUGUUCUGGGCUGCACGCGCGCUACACUGAAGGAAUCAGCGUGUGUUCCCUACCCGAAAGGGUUGGGAAACCCGUUGAACCUCCUUCGUGAUGGGGAUUGGGGAUUGCAAUUAUUCCCCAUGAACGAGGAAUUCCCAGUAGGCGCGAGUCAUAAGCUUGCGUCGAUUACGUCCCUGCCCUUUGUACACACCGCCCGUCGCUACUACCGAUCGAGUGAUUUAGUGAGGACUUCGGACUGGUCUUCGUGGUGGCUCUCGAGUCAUGACGGAGUUCCGGAAAGAUGCCCAAACUUGAUCACUUAGAGGAAGUAAAAGUCGUAACAAGGUUUCCGUAGGUGAACUGC